GCCUCCCGCCGGCAGACCCCAGUCCCGCUCCCCGGGAGGUGGCGGUGUUGGCCACCGGCGGCUUCGGGGGCUCCUUCCCCCAGCCCCCGGCCAUCCCCGCCCGCCGGGAAGCCGCCCAGCGCUUACCUUCAUUGGGUUUCCGCUCCCCAUCCCCCAGGGCAGGCGCAGCCUUCGACAACUGCAAAGACAACAGAAAAUCAGUCACAACGCGGAACCGUGACGCGGUCUCGGCGCGGGGGGUCCCGGGCAGGGUCCCCGGUGGCCCCGGUCCCGCCGCCCCUCCGGGCAGGAGGCGGAGGGAGCCCCGGCGGGAGGGGGCGCCCCCGAGGCCCAGCCGCUCCCCCCGGCCAUCCCGGCGGGCACAGAGGGACCUUUUGUUCCCCUGUCCCCCGGGAAAGGCGAGAGGGGCUCGGGCGGGACGGCUCCGGGCCGGGCGACAGGGCUGGCAAGGCGGCGUGCCGGCCCGAGAGAAGGCCCCAAGGGAGAAGCGCGUCCCCGGGGAGCUGCUGUCAGGGGCCGCGGGCAAACACCGGGAGCAAAUGCGAGCCCGGCGGAGAGAAGUAACGGGGAGACCUGCUGCUGCCGACAUGAACGAUGGAUCCGGGCACCGCUUCUCCCCGUAAAGGUGAAACAAGAACACCACUCUUCCUGCUCUUCGUGAGGGCUUUAGCUCUGACGUAACUUUCCAGCCAAGUCAGGUUUCCCCCUGCUGUUCUGUUCUGAACCAAAAUGGAAAAAGCCAAGCUUUCUUCACUUCUCCGAGCUAGGCAUUCUGAACUCCACACGGCGGCACGAACCCGAGCUGCGACCCAAGGCAAAUAUCGCCGAGGCAGCCUUUUGCAAUGUCAGGAGACCCGAGGCUGAUGCAAGAAGGCAGCGCGCUGCCUCCCUGCCCCGCGCCCCGGCCCCGGCGGGACCCCACGGCCGCGCCGC
This is a long non-coding RNA of Haemorhous mexicanus (house finch), 933 nucleotides long. RefSeq lists it as uncharacterized. The transcript is spliced from 3 exons. The record is from RefSeq and is a predicted model, not a curated record. NCBI's taxonomy places the organism in Eukaryota, Metazoa, Chordata, Aves, Passeriformes, Fringillidae.